Molecule: long non-coding RNA, 574 nt
Organism: Hipposideros armiger (great roundleaf bat)
Lineage: Eukaryota; Metazoa; Chordata; Mammalia; Chiroptera; Hipposideridae
Exons: 3
Source: RefSeq, a predicted model, not a curated record
CCCAAAGCCAGCCCAGCUAGAAACCAAGGUCUGAACUCUUAACUAAAUGCCCUGAACCACCACUGUGGUGGACCCAAGAAACCAGCAGCAAAAGGUAUGUGGGGGUGAAAAUCCCCUCUAGCUGACAGGUUGCCUCUGGUAACAUGCCAUUUUAUAGAUGAGCUAGCAGGGGCUUUGCUUUGGGGACUUGCCCAAGGCCUCACUGCUAAAGCGUGGGGUCCCUACAAAAAGAGAAAAUCUUAGCAUAUCAGAACUGGAAGGGGUCUCACAGCUCUUCUAGUCCAAGGCUAACUGUGACAGGAAAACUGUGGCCCAAAGAGGGCUGGGGCUGGCCCCCCACUGCAGCUCUUGCUCCCUCACCUUGGAUCACCUCUAACCUGUGAGCUUCAUGGAGCGUCUGAGAAGAAAUGGAAGGGUUUAUUGUAUACUGCCUCUGGCUCAGGUCCUGGAACAUUCCAGAAAGGACGGCAGAAUGAAAGAGAGAGCAGGUAGCCCCUGAGUGCCUGCUUGGUGCCAGACUCUGUGCCAGUUCUGGGGCGUGGUGGUGAAGGUGAUGGAGCCCCUGCCCUUGGGA